Molecule: RNA transcript, 2111 nt
Organism: Ananas comosus (pineapple)
Lineage: Eukaryota; Viridiplantae; Streptophyta; Magnoliopsida; Poales; Bromeliaceae
Gene name: putative RNA-binding protein Luc7-like 2
Exons: 12
Source: RefSeq, a predicted model, not a curated record
CUCCUCCCCACCCUACAGCCACCGGAGGAGGUGUCGAGAACUGCUCUCUCUCUCUCUCUCUCUCUCUCUUUCUCUCUCUCUCUCUCUCUCUCUUUUUCGUUUUUAACUCCAAAUCCAAACCCUAACCCUAACCCUAACCCUAGCUCUCUCUCUCUCUCUCUCUCUCUCUCUCUAUCUCUCUCUCUUCAAAUCCAAUCCCAAUCCGAGUUCGAAACCCUAACGCUAACCCUAGGUGGAGAGUUAGAGAGGGAGAAGCGGGGGGGGUCCGGUGAUGGACGCGAUAAGGAAGCAGCUGGACGUGCUGAUGGGGGCGAACAGGAACGGCGACGUGCGGGAGGUCAGCCGCAGCUACUACGACCGCGACGUCUGCCGCCUCUUCCUUGUCGGCCUCUGCCCCCACGACCUCUUCCAGCUCACGAAAAUGGAUCUGGGUCCUUGUCCGAAGGUUCAUUCAUUACAGCUGAGAAAAGAAUACGAAGAAGCAAAAGCUAAAGGCAUACACAAUUUCGAUAGAGAACUCGAGGAUAUGAUAGAGAGACUUAUUGUUGAGUGUGAAAGGAAAAUCCAAAGAGCCCUUAAGCGUCUCGCUGAUGAGGAUGCUAAGGCUGCUAUUGCAAUAUCUGUAUCAGAGGUUACUCAGACACCUGAGAUUUUGGAGUUCUCAAAACAAAUAAAGGAGAAGCUGAAAGAAGUGGAUGCUUUUGAUUUUGAAGGAAAAACUGAUAGCAAAAUUCGGGCUUUGGAAGUGGUGGAAGAGCUACGAGCCAAAAGAGCUGAUAAACAGGCAAUGCUACUUCUUGAUGCUUUCAACAAAGACAGGGCGUCAUUGCCACAACCAAAUCAAAAUACCCCUCAACCAGCACCACUGCCUGUACUUGCUCCUCCUGAUCCUCGUACCCAGGAAAUGAUAAAUGAAAAGUUAAGGAAAGCUGAAGAACUCGGUGAAAAAGGAAUGAUAGAUGAAGCCCAGAAAGCUUUGGAAGAAGCUGAAGCUCUUAAAAAGUUGGGUGCAAGACAGGAGCCCCUGGUAGAAUCUUCAAAAUACACAGCUGCUGAUGUUCGAAUUACUGAUCAGAAGUUACGCUUAUGCGACAUAUGUGGAGCAUUUUUGAGCGUCUACGACAAUGAUCGUCGUCUUGCUGAUCAUUUUGGAGGGAAACUACACUUGGGCUACAUGCAGAUCCGCGACAAGCUUUCUGAACUUCAGGUGCCGGUUAUAAUGUUUCACUUUUGGCCUUAGAGAGUAAACGCUUAUUUUUGGCACUCAGUGAGUUUUUCUGACCUCAAGGAGCAGUCACUGUUACGUUUCAUUAUGCUUUCACUCAUUUUUCUCAUUUGGAUAGUAUAAUGAUUAUCCGAGAGGGCAUCAUCAGGAGUAGCGAAGGUGGGCCAUAAUUGGACUCGGUACACAGUACCUGGACAACUGCUAUCUCUAUAUGUGGGAGAAACUGUAAGCUGAGGAAAUAUAGUACUAACUAUAUUAAAGUUGAUUGUGGAAACUUCUAUUCCUUUACAUUUUAUGACCGCUUAUCUUUCAGUUGGUUUUUUCGCCUAUUGUUUGGUAGAACGUGGGUCAGAAACUGAAACUUGUGCACAACAUUUUAUCUGGUAUGAGCCAUCUUUAGUCCACGCAUUUUGAUAUUGUGGUUAACACAUUGAAAUUAUCUCAUUUUUUGACAUAUUUUCCUUGGAGUCGAAAGUGAUAAAUAGGUGCAGUUUUAAGAAGUUAUUUCUUGCGAGCCAUAUGAAUAAUUGUUAGAUGUUGGACUCGUACUUACCUUCAAAGUCAGUAUAAUCUGACCUCAUAAGUGGUAGCUACUGCCGCAAUAUUGUUACCUUUUUUAUUUUUUAAAAUUUAUAUUUUGGUCAUUCAAUUUUCUUACACAAUGUCAAGUUAUCCUGUCAUUUGAUUUCAAUCCUUCAUUUUAUUACUUUUCAUAUUUAAAUUGAUCUUUUGUCAGGAGGAGAGGAAUAAAAGGCGAAAGAUUGAAGAUGAUAGAAGGUCGAGAGAUCGCAACCGGCAGUCCGAGAGAGAAUCGACUAGGGAUCGGGAUUCAGAUAAAAAGGACAAAUCGUAUAGUCGAGAGAGUGGGAGAGAAUAUGAACGUGAA